AGGAAAGCAGGGGAUCGCAAGACCUUGCGCUCUUGGAGCGGCCGAUGUCUGAUUAGCUAGUUGGUGAGGUAAAGGCUUACCAAGGCGACGAUCAGUAGCUGGUCUGAGAGGACGACCAGCCACACUGGGACUGAGACACGGCCCAGACUCCUACGGGAGGCAGCAGUGGGGAAUUUUGGACAAUGGGGGAAACCCUGAUCCAGCCAUGCCGCGUGAGUGAAGAAGGCCUUCGGGUUGUAAAGCUCUUUCAGCCGGAACGAAACGGUCACGGCUAAUACCUGUGACCACUGACGGUACCGGAAGAAGAAGCACCGGCUAACUACGUGCCAGCAGCCGCGGUAAUACGUAGGGCGCAAGCGUUAAUCGGAAUUACUGGGCGUAAAGCGUGCGCAGGCGGUUUUGUAAGUCAGAUGUGAAAUCCCCGGGCUUAACCUGGGAACUGCGUUUGAAACUACAAGGCU
Molecule: ribosomal RNA, 461 nt
Filed under: uncultured beta proteobacterium
Lineage: Bacteria; Pseudomonadati; Pseudomonadota; Betaproteobacteria
Description: bacterial SSU rRNA
Rfam family: Bacterial small subunit ribosomal RNA
Source: RNAcentral